CGGGUCGGCUAGACGGUCGCGUCGGAUGCGCGCCCCGAGUAAUCGGGGAACGGCACCGCCGAGGAACGUCCGGGCUCCACAGAGCAGGGCGGUGGGUAACACCCACCCGGAGCAAUCCGCGAGAAAGUGCAACAGAGAGCAGACCGCCGGCGGCUUCGGCCGCCGGUAAGGGUGAAACGGUGGUGUAAGAGACCACCAGAGCCCCGAGUGAUCGGGGCUGCUGGGUAAACCUCGCCCGGAGCUAGAUCAGACAGGCACCCGUGACGCUGCUCGCCGAGGUGCCGGGUAGAUCGCUAGAGGGUGUCGGCAACGCCACCCCGAGAUAGAUGGCCGUCGUCCGGGGCUCGCCCCGGGCACAGAACCCGGCGUAUCGGUCGGCCCGCUUG
Molecule: RNase P RNA, 386 nt
Filed under: Microcella alkaliphila
Lineage: Bacteria; Bacillati; Actinomycetota; Actinomycetes; Micrococcales; Microbacteriaceae
Description: Bacterial RNase P class A
Rfam family: Bacterial RNase P class A
About the family: Ribonuclease P (RNase P) is a ubiquitous endoribonuclease, found in archaea, bacteria and eukarya as well as chloroplasts and mitochondria.
Source: RNAcentral